GGGCCCGUAGCUCAGCGGUAGAGCAGGGGACUCAUAAUCCCUUGGCCGCUGGUUCGAAUCCAGCCGGGCCCA
RNAcentral lists this transfer RNA (72 nucleotides) under Phycisphaerae bacterium. RNAcentral's name for it is "tRNA-Ile". It matches the Rfam family "tRNA". From Rfam's summary of the family: Transfer RNA (tRNA) molecules are approximately 80 nucleotides in length. Their secondary structure includes four short double-helical elements and three loops (D, anti-codon, and T loops). RNAcentral also lists the same sequence under 1 other name. The record is from RNAcentral. Lineage: Bacteria; Pseudomonadati; Planctomycetota; Phycisphaerae.